AGCGAACGCUGGCGGCAGGCCUAACACAUGCAAGUCGAACGAACUCUUCGGAGUUAGUGGCGGACGGGUGAGUAACACGUGGGAACGUGCCUUUAGGUUCGGAAUAACUCAGGGAAACUUGUGCUAAUACCGAAUGUGCCCUUCGGGGGAAAGAUUUAUCGCCUUUAUAGCGGCCCGCGUCUGAUUAGCUAGUUGGUGAGGUAAAGGCUCACCAAGGCGACGAUCAGUAGCUGGGCUGAGAGGAUGAUCAGCCACAUUGGGACUGAGACACGGCCCAAACUCCUACGGGAGGCAGCAGUGGGGAAUCUUGCGCAAUGGGCGAAAGCCUGACGCAGCCAGGCCGCGUGAAUGAUGAAGGUCUUAGGAUUGUAAAAUUCUUUCACCGGGGACGAUAAUGACGGUACCCGGAGAAGAAGCCCCGGCUAACUUCGUG
RNAcentral lists this ribosomal RNA (433 nucleotides) under uncultured bacterium. Its description in RNAcentral is "partial 16S ribosomal RNA". It matches the Rfam family "Bacterial small subunit ribosomal RNA", at positions 29 to 507 of the family's 1533-position model. The record is from RNAcentral.